Molecule: long non-coding RNA, 355 nt
Organism: Melopsittacus undulatus (budgerigar)
Lineage: Eukaryota; Metazoa; Chordata; Aves; Psittaciformes; Psittaculidae
Exons: 3
Source: RefSeq, a predicted model, not a curated record
CUUUCUCUUUCUUACUAAAUCUUAGUAAAUGAAGUAAUUCUGGUUUUGAAAAGAGCAGAUGUCAUCCAUCUUAGGGAAAUGAUCAAGAUCCCAAGAAGGCUGAAAAUCACUGGGAGGACAUGGGAGUGUGUGCCUGCCUGCGGAUGCUCUGCAGUUCCCAAUACCCAGACAGUGAAGGAGUAAACGCAGGAACUCUCUUCCUACAAUACUCUGCAGGCAUACAUCUGUACAGAACAGUCAUCCAGCUCCCUUGCAGCUACUUUAAUGUGUACUACCAAUAAUAUACGUCAUGAUGUUUUCAUGCCUUGGAAAACCUGCAAGCAAGGCCUGACCUUGGUAGAUCAAGAGAGAAGAG